GCCUGGGUGGCUCAGUCGGUUGAGCAUCCGACUUCGGCUCCGGUCAUGAUCUCACGGUUCGUGGGUUCGAGUCCUACAUCUGGCU
This 85-nucleotide transfer RNA is filed under the name Felis catus (domestic cat). It matches the Rfam family "tRNA". Rfam says of the family: Transfer RNA (tRNA) molecules are approximately 80 nucleotides in length. Their secondary structure includes four short double-helical elements and three loops (D, anti-codon, and T loops). Further hydrogen bonds mediate the characteristic L-shaped molecular structure. tRNAs have two regions of fundamental functional importance: the anti-codon, which is responsible for specific mRNA codon recognition, and the 3' end, to which the tRNAs corresponding amino acid is attached (by aminoacyl-tRNA synthetases). tRNAs cope with the degeneracy of the genetic code in two manners: having more than one tRNA (with a specific anti-codon) for a particular amino acid; and 'wobble' base-pairing, i.e. permitting non-standard base-pairing at the 3rd anti-codon position. Lineage: Eukaryota; Metazoa; Chordata; Mammalia; Carnivora; Felidae. The record is from Rfam by way of RNAcentral.